UGGGGAAUUGUUCGCAAUGGGCGCAAGCCUGACGACGCAACGCCGCGUGGAGGACGAAGACCUUCGGGUCGUAAACCCCUGUCGAAUGGGACGAAAGACUCGCGAGUGAAUACUUCGCGAGAGUGACGGUACCGUUAAAGGAAGCCACGGCUAACUCUGUGCCAGCAGCCGCGGUAAUACAGAGGUGGCAAGCGUUGUUCGGAAUUACUGGGCGUAAAGGGCGCGUAGGCGGCCCUCUAAGUCAGACGUGAAAUCCCCCGGCUUAACCUGGGAACUGCGUCUGAUACUGGAGGGCUUGAGUAUGGGAGAGGGAUGUAGAAUUCCAGGUGUAGCGGUGAAAUGCGUAGAUAUCUGGAGGAAUACCGGUGGCGAAGGCGGCAUCCUGGACCAUUACUGACGCUGAGGCGCGAAAGCUAGGGGAGCAAACGGGAUUAGAUACCCCCGUAGUCCCUGAGCGGGCUGGCAAGGCGCAU
RNAcentral lists this ribosomal RNA (473 nucleotides) under uncultured bacterium. RNAcentral describes it as "bacterial SSU rRNA". It matches the Rfam family "Bacterial small subunit ribosomal RNA", at positions 355 to 825 of the family's 1533-position model. The record is from RNAcentral.